RNAcentral lists this ribosomal RNA (301 nucleotides) under Klebsiella sp. RNAcentral describes it as "bacterial SSU rRNA". It matches the Rfam family "Bacterial small subunit ribosomal RNA", at positions 801 to 1101 of the family's 1533-position model. Lineage: Bacteria; Pseudomonadati; Pseudomonadota; Gammaproteobacteria; Enterobacterales; Enterobacteriaceae. The record is from RNAcentral.
GAGAGCGAUGUCGACCUGGCAGCUUGUGCCCUUGAGGCGUGGCUUCCGGAGCUAACGCGUUAAAUCGACCGCCUGGGGAGUACGGCCGCAAGGUUAAAACUCAAAUGAAUUGACGGGGGCCCGCACAAGCGGUGGAGCAUGUGGUUUAAUUCGAUGCAACGCGAAGAACCUUACCUGGUCUUGACAUCCACAGAACUUUCCAGAGAUGGAUUGGUGCCUUCGGGAACUGUGAGACAGGUGCUGCAUGGCUGUCGUCAGCUCGUGUUGUGAAAUGUUGGGUUAAGUCCCGCAACGAAAAUUG